Heterocephalus glaber (naked mole-rat) is the source of this 1177-nucleotide long non-coding RNA. NCBI's taxonomy places the organism in Eukaryota, Metazoa, Chordata, Mammalia, Rodentia, Bathyergidae. The record is from Ensembl.
AGGCAUUUUAAAAAUUAUGUCAGAUCUUUCUCUUCCGUGCCAUGGCAAUGUUUCCGGAAGCUUCACUUUUAUUAAAAUGAGGGCAAGGGAGUAAACAAAUUAAUCUCGGAGCGGGAGCAGCCUGGAAGAUGAUGGAAGCCUUAAGGAUCCAGCAGCGUCUUUGCUGGGAAACCAGGAGGUUCAUUUGCUCACUUUCACCAGCCCUUGUUUCUGCUCACAACCUUCAGUGACUCACUAUCACCCUUGGACUGAAGCUCAGACUCCUCCCUGUGACAUUCUGGUCCCUCCAGGAUAUUACCACAACCCAUUUUUCCAGUCCAAGUGCCCACUGCUCUUUGCAGCUGCAAUCAGGUGCAUCUAAGAAGGUAUGAAGGUGAGAAGAAGGAGAAUAAAAGAAGAUGGGAAGAUAAGAAAGAAGGAAGAAAGGAGGGAGGAGGAGGAAACAAAUGUUAAGUACCAAAAUAUUCCAAAUUUGCUAAUCCUUUAUAUAACAAUGACAAUGGCAGUAGUUGCUCUCAUUUAUUGAGACCAGUCUGCCAGCCACUGGUUCAACACUACUUCAGCUGGUGUUGUUCCUAUAAAGGAGGCAUGGUGAUCUCCAUGCCACAGAGGGGGAACUGGGGCUCACUGUGUAGAACAAUUUGCUCCAGGUCAUGUAUGUCAUAAAUGAUAAAACCAGUCUGUUGGACAUCAAAGCCUAAAUUCUGAACUACUGCACUUCCCACCAACAGUAAACAUUGUCCCCAUUUUGCAGGUGAAGAUGAGGAGGUGCAGGGAGAUAGUGAUAUGCCCUGAGGUACUGGGGGUAAAAACCAAGCAGAAACCAGGAGCAUCAAAGUUCUGGGAAUCAGCUUUACUCCAUCUCUAUCAACACCUGCUCUGGAGAACACAGGAUCUUAACUUACAACUCUGCCUCAGCGUCCCAGAGUGCUGGGAUUAUAAUUAUGGGCCACCAUGCCUGGGUCACAUUCACUCUUUUAAAGCGUGCAGUUGGAUGGGUUGUGAAAGACACGUGUGCAGUAUCUCCACCUCUGCAAUCAAGAUGUGCAUUUCCAUUCACCACAGAAAGUUGCUUUGUGCCCCUUGGUGGAUUCCAUCUCCUAUCCCAGCUCCUGGCAUCCACUGAUGUGGUUUGGCCUUUUUCAGAUGCCAUUAAAUAGAAUCACCCAAUACUGAA